GAGCAUUCUCUAGACAAGGGACCAGUCACAGGUGGGUCCCAGCAUGGAGCUCCGCCACAGAGCCUUCAGUACAGACAGGGACCUGGUCAUGGAGCUCUGUCACACAGCUCACAGUACUACUUAUCAGAGUUGGGGUCAACUCCAUUUCAAAUCAAUCAAUGAUGGAAUUGGAAUUUCUGUUCACUAAAAUAGAAUUGUAGUUUUCUUUUAAUUGAAUUGUAAAAUGAAGCUGAACCCUGGUGUGGAAACAUUCUCCAGUCACCACACACUGAAGGACGUGAAGAGGACGGUUGGCGUAUCCAGACCCUCUAGCAGUCCAGUUUGAUUGAGUUUGUUGAUUAUAAACACUUUUUUUCCUGUGUUGUUUACCAGGGUUUCUGGAAAGGGAAGUUGCUCUAUAUCGAUUUGUUUUAGGAAUUGUGCUAGCUGACUGUUCUAGUGAGUGAAGAGCCAGCUGUUUUGAGUCUCGUCUGACCCGCUGUCUCUCUGUGUGGCCACCACGGUGUUCAGUAAGCUGUGGAGAGGGGCUUCGACAGAGACAGGUUAUCUGACCCGCUGUCUCUCUGUGUGGCCACCACGGUGUUCAGUAAGCUGUGGAGAGGGGAUUCGACAGAGACAGGUUAUCUGACCCGCUGUCUCUCUGUGUGGCCACCACAGUGUUCAGUAAGCUGUGGAGAGGGGAUUCGACAGAGACAGGUUAUCUGACCCGCUGUCUCUCUGUGUGGCCACCACGGUGUUCAGUAAGCUGUGGAGAGGGGAUUCGACAGAGACAGGUUAUCUGACCCGCUGUCUCUCUGUGUGGCCACCACAGUGUUCAGUAAGCUGUGGAGAGGGGAUUCGACAGAGACAGGUUAUCUGACCCGCUGUCUCUCUGUGUGGCCACCACAGUGUUCAGUAAGCUGUGGAGAGGGGAUUCGACAGAGACAGGUUAUCUGACCCGCUGUCUCUCUGUGUGGCCACCACGGUGUUCAGUAAGCUGUGGAGAGGGGAUUCGACAGAGACAGGUUAUCUGACCCGCUGUCUCUCUGUGUGGCCACCACAGUGUUCAGUAAGCUGUGGAGAGGGGAUUCGACAGAGACAGGUUAUCUGACCCGCUGUCUCUCUGUGUGGCCACCACAGUGUUCAGUAAGCUGUGGAGAGGGGAUUCGACAGAGACAGGUUAUCUGACCCGCUGUCUCUCUGUGUGGCCACCACGGUGUUCAGUAAGCUGUGGAGAGGGGAUUCGACAGAGAGAGGUUAUCUGACCCGCUGUCUCUCUGUGUGGCCACCACAGUGUUCAGUAAGCUGUGGAGAGGGGAUUCGACAGAGACAGGUUAUCUGACCCGCUGUCUCUCUGUGUGGCCACCACAGUGUUCAGUAAGCUGUGGAGAGGGGAUUCGACAGAGACAGGUUAUCUGACCCGCUGUCUCUCUGUGUGGCCACCACAGUGUUCAGUAAGCUGUGGAGAGGGGAUUCGACAGAGACAGGUGGUGUGUAGAGCCACAGACAACACCAUCGGCCAGUGUGAGGGAGACAAGCCUGAAACUGUCCUCAUCUGUAAACUGAGCCCGUGUCCAGGUAGAGUACAUACACACACAUGCAUGCUCUUACACACACACACACA
This is a long non-coding RNA of Oncorhynchus keta (chum salmon), 1603 nucleotides long. RefSeq lists it as uncharacterized. NCBI's taxonomy places the organism in Eukaryota, Metazoa, Chordata, Actinopteri, Salmoniformes, Salmonidae. The transcript has 6 exons. The record is from RefSeq and is a predicted model, not a curated record.